UACGAAGGGGGCUAGCGUUGUUCGGAAUUACUGGGCGUAAAGCGCUCGCAGGCGGAUUGAUAAGUCGGGGGUGAAAUCCCGGGGCUCAACCUCGGAAUUGCCUUCGAUACUGUCUAUCUAGAGUCCGGGAGAGGUGAGUGGAAUUCCUAGUGUAGAGGUGAAAUUCGUAGAUAUUAGGAAGAACACCAGUGGCGAAGGCGGCUCACUGGCCCGGUACUGACGCUCAUGAGCGAAAGCGUGGGGAGCAAACAGG
This 253-nucleotide ribosomal RNA is filed under the name uncultured bacterium. RNAcentral describes it as "partial 16S ribosomal RNA". It matches the Rfam family "Bacterial small subunit ribosomal RNA", at positions 524 to 776 of the family's 1533-position model. The record is from RNAcentral.